Molecule: ribosomal RNA, 444 nt
Filed under: Nitrososphaera viennensis
Lineage: Archaea; Thermoproteati; Nitrososphaerota; Nitrososphaeria; Nitrososphaerales; Nitrososphaeraceae
Description: bacterial SSU rRNA
Rfam family: Archaeal small subunit ribosomal RNA
Source: RNAcentral
UGGUGCAAAAUAAGGGGUGGGCAAGUCUGGUGUCAGCCGCCGCGGUAAUACCAGCACCCCGAGUGGUCGGGACGAUUAUUGGGCCUAAAGCAUCCGUAGCCGGUACUGCAAGUCUUCCGUUAAAUCCACCUGCUUAACAGAUGGGCUGCGGGGGAUACUACAGCGCUAGGAGGCGGGAGAGGCAAGCGGUACUCAAUGGGUAGGGGUAAAAUCCGCUGAUCCAUUGAAGACCACCAGUGGCGAAGGCGGCUUGCCAGAACGCGCUCGACGGUGAGGGAUGAAAGCUGGGGGAGCAAACCGGAUUAGAUACCCGGGUAGUCCCAGCUGUAAACGAUGCAGACUCGGUGAUGGGCUGGCUUUGUGCCAACCCAGUGCCGCAGGGAAGCCGUUAAGUCUGCCGCCUGGGGAGUACGGUCGCAAGACUGAAACUUAAAGGAAUUGGCG